UGCCCCCGCCGUGCCCACUGGUCCUCUCCCGGUGUCUCCAGUUUCUUGCAGGAGCCUCCAGGUCAGCCUCUAGGUCAGCCUCCGGGACCCCCUGGGGAGCAAGCCUGGGUGACUGUCCUACCUCCCCGGCCCCCAGGCUGACCCCGAUGAUCAGGACUCCUCAGAGCCGGUGCCUUCCCAGAGCCCCAGCCCAGUGCGUCUGCCCAGCCACCCCCAGGCCUAGGCCUGCACUGCGGCACAGCAGGGAGGGCCUCAGGGAAUUAGGGGGAGGGGCUGUGGCGUCAGGAGGCCAGUGGGGUGACUCCCCCUAUGCUCAGUGCGGCCAACUGCUCUACCUGUGGCCGUCAUGUCCUGAAGCUGGUGGCCCUACCCCAGCCAGCUGUCCUGCUUCCCCUAGAGGCCCUGUGGGCCAGAGGCUCCGAGGAGGGGGUCCCAGGGCCAUGUUACCGUGCUGACCCUGGCCUGGUCUAGGCGGUGGCCGCGUGGGCUGCGGCGCUAGGCUACAGGCCCCACUCGGGGCCUGUAGGGCUCGGCCCGACUCAGCCUAUGGGUCAGUACGGCAGCUCGUCCACAGAGUGGCCCCCGGAGAGCGGCCCUGUCUCCUCCAGGAGGCGCAGCCUAGCGUGGCAGUGUGGCAGAGGUGGGCAGGGAGCGGAGCGGCCGGCUGACGUCUCUGCGGCUGCCCAGUGGCUCCCGCGGCAGGCCCGGGGGUUGGUACCCACGAGGGCAGCCCCUCCUUGCAGGGCUGGGCCCCUCCAGCAAAGGGGCAGAAAGAAGCUGUGUCCCCGCGGCUCCCACGGGAACCCCUGUCAUUAGAGGGGCCUCGUGACAUGCCUGCCUCCGAGAGGCGCCGCUGCCUCUUACCCCCUCAGUACCCCCACAUCCUGGGCCCCCCACCCCGUGCCUCAUGCUGCUCGCUCCGUCAGCAAGGACUCACGGCACAGGCGGGCCCGGGCAGUGCAGCCGGAGGACUGGGCCAUGGCCUGGCUUAGCCCGGGCGGCUGUGAGCCUCAGGACAUAGCCGGGGGUGGGGUGGGGAGGGGAGCCUCUGCCCAGACAGGCUGUCGUGCCGGACGCUCAGCGCUGGGGUGAGCUGACAGGGUUAUGCCUCGUUAGGGGUGGCAUUGUGUCCCUCCCCCAUGCUCAUGUAUGAAGUCUUGACCCCUGAGCUCCUGAGAACAUGCCCUCAUAUCGAAGGUCGUUGCAGGUGUAAUCAGUUAAGAUGGGGCCUCCUGAAGUCCCGACUGCCGUCCUCACGAAAAGGGGAUUUUGGACAGACGCACAGAGGGAAGAUACCACCUGCAAACCAAGGCAGGGGGCCUGGAGCAGACCCUUCCCUUGUACCCUUCAAAAGGAAUCAACCCUGCCCAUGGCUGGACCGUGGGCUUCCAGACUCCAGAACUGUGAGUCAAUUUGUUUUUCCUUUCUUUUUUUUUUUUUUUUUUUAAUUUUUUUUUUCAACGUUUAUUUAUUUUUGGGACAGAGAGAGACAGAGCAUGAACGGGGGAGGGGCAGCGAGAGAAGGAGACACAGAAUCGGAAACAGGCUCCAGGCUCCGAGCCAUCAGCCCAGAGCCCGACGCGGGGCUCGAACUCACGGACCGCGAGAUCGUGACCUGGCUGAGGUCGGACGCUUAACCGACUGCGCCACCCAGGCGCCCCUGUUUUUUUUUUUUAAAUUGUUUUAAUGCUUAUUUAUUUUUGAGAGAAAGAGAGAGAGAGAGAGACAGAGAGAGCAAGUGGGGGAGGGGCAGAGAGAGAGGAAGACACAGAAUCCAAAGCAGGCUCCAGGCUCUGAGCCAUCAGCACACAGCUGGAUGCAGGGCUUGAACCCAUGGAUGACAAGAUUGUGACCCGAGCGGAAGUCGGAUGCUUAACCGACUGAGCCACCCUGGCGCCCCUCGUUUUUCAUUUCUGUUGCUUAAACCACUCAGCCUGUGCAAACGGAGAUAGUCCCCAGUUGUGAGAACCAAACCUGGCAGAGCAAGUGAAGACGGGGUCUGGGACUUCGGCACAGGGGGUGACCUGGAAGCCGCUCCUUGAGGCCCCGCUGCCCCUGUGCUACAGGACAGAUGAAGGGGGCGAGGGGAAGGUGCGGUCAGCGUGGACCCAUCUGGUGACUCCCAGGCUGGGCAUCGAGGGUGGAUUAAACUAGGCAAGAUGCCUGACCUGUACUUCAGAAUUAAAUUUCUUUGCAUCUUGCUCCAA
Molecule: long non-coding RNA, 2207 nt
Filed under: Lynx pardinus (Iberian lynx)
Lineage: Eukaryota; Metazoa; Chordata; Mammalia; Carnivora; Felidae
Source: RNAcentral